GGGCUAACAAAUCAUUAUCCAUAUUUGAUCGGAAUCCACUUCAAAUUUUCUUUUCAGAAUCUAUAUCCAUCUUGGAUUUUAAUUAGAUUGGAUUGGAUCAAAUAUCCGAUGGAUCAUAUGAAAUUGCCAUCUAUCCAGUAGAUCAUAUGAAAUUGCCAUCUCUAAUAAUUAGGAGCACUGGCAAUAAUUUGGAUAAAGGAAGAGAUAGC
Molecule: long non-coding RNA, 209 nt
Filed under: Elaeis guineensis (African oil palm)
Lineage: Eukaryota; Viridiplantae; Streptophyta; Magnoliopsida; Arecales; Arecaceae
Description: long non-coding RNA (EGUI_LNC001316)
Source: RNAcentral